CUUAUUGAGAGUUUGAUCCUGGCUCAGGAUGAACGCUGGCGGCGUGGAUAAGGCAUGCAAGUCAUACGGUCCCGCACCCUUUAGCAAUAAAAGGUGCGGGAUAGUGGCAGACGGGGUAGUAACACGUAGGAACUCACCCCAGAGACGGGCAUAACUCCGCGAAAGCGGAGCUAAUUCCCGAUAGUAUCGUGAGAUUAAAACACUUAGAUUGGCUCUGGGAGAGGCCUGCGGGCUAUCAGCUUGUUGGCGGGGUAAUGGCCCACCAAGGCGACGACGGCUAGGGGGAGUGAGAGCUUGGCCCCCACCAAUGGAACUGAGAACGGUCCAUACACCUACGGGUGGCAGCAGCCGAGAAUAUUCGACAAUGGGCGAAAGCCUGAUCGAGCGACGCCGCGUGCAGGAGGAAGCCCUUCGGGGCGUAAACUGCUUUUUUAAGGGAGGAAAAAAAUGACUGUACCCUAAGAAUAAGGGCUUGCUAACCUCGUGCCAGCAGCCGCGGUAAUACGAGGAGCCCGAGCGUUAUCCGGAUUUACUGGGCGUAAAGGGUGUGUAGGGGGUUUUGUUAGUCCCGUUUUAAAAACUCCGGCUUAACCGGAGAGAUGGGCGGGAAACGGCAAAACUAGGAGGAUGCCAGAGGCAAGCGGAACUCACGGUGUAGGGGUGAAAUCCGUUGAUAUCGUGGGGAACACCAAAGGCGAAGGCAGCUUGCUGGGGCAUUCCUGACCCUGAAACACGAAAGCGUGGGGAUCAAAAAGGAUUAACAAAUGCUGUUUACAAGGCAGCUUAGUCCCCUCGGAAUAAAUUCCGAGGAUAAAAAACUUGGUCCGACGCACUAUUUAUUUUAAUAGUGAAGUCGGACUCCGACAAAACCGAGAGGUUUUCGUCGGAGCUAUAUCGGGGAAACCCCUCCGGCCGAAGCGUCGGAGGACAAUCCCGAGGGAAGUCCGCUGUCCGACACUUAGUUUCGGACAUGACCCCGUAGAGACUAUACGCCGAGGUCGCCGAAAAGGCGACAUGAUAUAGUCCGAACUGCAUAGCGAUAUGCAGAAGCAGAUAGAAAUAUUCUGCUCACUCAAGAAAAAAUCGGUGCUAAUUUUUGGAAAUAAAAAAGAGGGAAUAGCGUUUAAUUCCAUUCCCUCUUAUCGCUUGAUCCUCGGUUCUACCGGAGCAAAAGAUAAACCUGACCAAGCAAAGACGCAAGGAGCAUCCACGCGAGGAACUCUUUGUAGACAAGUCGGGCUAAACCUUGCGGCCCGGUUUUCUCACAAAUCCAUACAAGCAUAAAUCACCUCCAUAUCAAGCAUAGCAUAUAAAAAUUUAUUUGUCAAGCACCAAUCUUGACUCCAAAAAUUAGCACCGAUUAGUAAAAUUGAGUUGUAACAAAUUUGUAGAUACCCUUGUAGUCCACGCCCUAAACGAUGAUGACUAGCCAUUGGAAGUAUCGACCCUUCGAGUGGCGAAGCUAACGCGUUAAGUCAUCCGCCUGGGAAGUACGAACGCAAGUUUAAAACUCAAAGGAAUAGACGGGGACUCGCACAAGCGGUGGAGCAUGUGGUUCAAUUCGAUGUUAAACGAAAAACCUCACCAGGGCUUGAAAUCCCGACGAUAAGCCCGCCGAAAGGCGUGCGUCUCACAAGGACGUCGGGACAGGUGCUGCAUGGCUGUCGUCAGUUCGUGGCUUGAGCUGUUCCCUUAAGUGGGGCAACGAACGCAACCCCUAUUUUGUGUUACAAGUGUCACAAGAGACUGCCCCGCACCGCGGGGAGGAAGGCGGGGAUGACGCCAAGUCAGCAUGGCCCUUUGAUGCCCUGGGCUACACACGUGCUACAAUGCCGUCCACAAUGAGUCGCGAAGCCGCGAGGCGGAGCUAAUCUCACCAAAGGCCGGCCCAGUUCGGAUUGCGCUCUGCAACUCGAGCGCAUGAAGACGGAAUCGCUAGUAAUCGCAGGUCAGCUAUACUGCGGUGAAUACGUUCUCGAGUCUUGUACUCACCGCCCGUCAACUCAAGGAAGUCCCGCCGACCCAAAAGUCCCGCUUAGCGGGGAAUAAGGAUGGCGGGAUGACAGGGAGUAAGUCGUAACAAGGCACGGCUAGCGGAAGCUGGUCGUGGAGUUUCAAUUUU
RNAcentral lists this ribosomal RNA (2122 nucleotides) under Candidatus Giovannonibacteria bacterium. Its description in RNAcentral is "bacterial SSU rRNA". It matches the Rfam family "Bacterial small subunit ribosomal RNA". Lineage: Bacteria; Candidatus Giovannoniibacteriota. The record is from RNAcentral.